GNGGACUACUGGAAACCGGAGCUAAUACCGGAUAAGAUAUCGAACCGCAUGGUUCGAUAGUGAAAGAUGGUUUUGCUAUCACUUAUAGAUGGACCCGCGCCGUAUUAGCUAGUUGGUGAGGUAACGGCUCACCAAGGCAACGAUACGUAGCCGACCUGAGAGGGUGAUCGGCCACACUGGAACUGAGACACGGUCCAGACUCCUACGGGAGGCAGCAGUU
Molecule: ribosomal RNA, 220 nt
Filed under: uncultured Staphylococcus sp.
Lineage: Bacteria; Bacillati; Bacillota; Bacilli; Caryophanales; Staphylococcaceae
Description: partial 16S ribosomal RNA
Rfam family: Bacterial small subunit ribosomal RNA
Source: RNAcentral